Molecule: ribosomal RNA, 400 nt
Filed under: uncultured bacterium
Lineage: Bacteria
Description: bacterial SSU rRNA
Rfam family: Bacterial small subunit ribosomal RNA
Source: RNAcentral
GGGGAAUAUUGGACAAUGGGGGAAACCCUGAUCCAGCAAUGCCGCGUGAAUGAUGAAGGCCUUAGGGUUGUAAAGUUCUUUCACCUGUGAAGAUAAUGACGGUAGCAGGAGAAGAAGCCCCGGCUAACUCCGUGCCAGCAGCCGCGGUAAGACGGAGGGGGCUAGCGUUGUUCGGAAUGACUGGGCGUAAAGGGCGCGUAGGCGGUUUUUUAAGUGAGGCGUGAAAGCCCUGGGCUUAACCCAGGAGGUGCGUUUCAUACUGGAAGACUUGAGUACGAGAGAGGAAAGCGGAAUUCCUAGUGUAGAGGUGAAAUUCGUAGAUAUUAGGAAGAACACCAGUGGCGAAGGCGGCUUUCUGGCUCGUAACUGACGCUGAGGCGCGAAAGCGUGGGGAGCAAAC